GGAGUUAGCCGGUGCUUCUUCUGUGAGUGAUGUCCUUCCUGCCGGCUAUUAACCCGCAGGCCUUCUUCCUCACUGAAAGUGCUUUACAACCCGAAGGCCUUCUUCACACACGCGGCAUGGCUGGAUCAGGGUUGCCCCCAUUGUCCAAUAUUCCCCACUGCUGCCUCCCGUAGGAGUCUGGGCCGUGUCUCAGUCCCAGUGUGGCUGAUCAUCCUCUCAGACCAGCUACGGAUCGUCGCCUUGGUGAGCCGUUACCUCACCAACCAGCUAAUCCGACAUAGGCUCAUCCGAUAGCGCGAGGCCCGAAGGUACCCCCGCUUUCCCCCGUAGGGCGUACUGCGGUAUUAGCCUGGGUUUCCCCAGGUUAUCCCCCACUACCGGGCAGAUUCCUAUGCAUUACUCACCCGUCCGCCGCUCGCCACCAGGGAGCAAGCUCCCCGUGCUGCCGCUCGACUUGCAUGUGUUAGGCCUGCCGCCAGCGUUCAAUCUGAGCCAGGAUCAAACUCUGA
Molecule: ribosomal RNA, 509 nt
Filed under: uncultured bacterium
Lineage: Bacteria
Description: partial 16S ribosomal RNA
Source: RNAcentral